CGCAUCUGUGCAUGCAGCAUAUCAAUAAGCGGAGGAAAAGAAACUAACAAGGAUUCCCCUAGUAACGGCGAGUGAAGCGGGAAGAGCUCAAAUUUGAAAUCUUAAAGGGUUUCCCUUUACGAAUUGUAGUUUAAAGAAGUGUUUUCUGUUGAGGUUUUGGUAAAAGUUCUUUGGAAUAGGACAUCAUAGAGGGUGAGAAUCCCGUAUUUGACCUUUACUUUCAACUUUGCUGAUACACUUUCAAAGAGUCGGAUUGUUUGGGAAUGCAGUCCAAAAUGGGUGGUAAAUUUCAUCUAAAGCUAAAUAUUGGCGAGAGACCGAUAGCGAACAAGUACCGUGAGGGAAAGAUGAAAAGAACUUUGAAAAGAGAGUUAAACAGUACGUGAAAUUGUCAAAAGGGAAGCGUUUGACACCAGUGUUGUUUUCUGAAAAUCAAUUAAAGAACUGUUUAUGCUAAGUUGUUUAGACUUUAUCAGCUAUCUGCUUAGUUUUGAGCUUUUCUUUAAUGCACUUUUCAGUUAACAAGUCAACAUCAAUUUCUUUUGCUGUAAAAAAGCUUGAGGAAGGUGGCUUGAGAUUCGUCUUAAGUGUUUAUAGCCUCUUGCCUAUGCAGUCGGAGAGAUUGAGGUCUGCAGCGUAGAUCCUUCGGGGCUAAAUGCAUUUGUGCUAAGUUAUAGCAUUUUAUAGACAACUUGUUGACUAUGAUUUGUCUUGUAGCUUACUCGCUUAUGUUAUUUUACCUACGCUUAGGAUGUUGAAUCUGUGCGAGACUAC
RNAcentral lists this ribosomal RNA (774 nucleotides) under uncultured Neocallimastigales. Its description in RNAcentral is "partial large subunit ribosomal RNA". It matches the Rfam family "Eukaryotic large subunit ribosomal RNA", at positions 26 to 644 of the family's 3401-position model. The record is from RNAcentral. Lineage: Eukaryota; Fungi; Neocallimastigomycota; Neocallimastigomycetes; Neocallimastigales.